UCGGGUCUAUUUGAAUAGGAUCUGUUCUACAGGCUAGUACAUCUGUAUCCUUAACUCCUAAGGAGACAGGAUUCCAAGUCUAGUUAAACAAUCAAGAUUGUGUGAUCAGAGCUUGAUUAUUGUUUUGGUAGCUCAAUGAUUGGAUCACCUUGUCCGCAGAGGAUCGUUGUCAACCUUGCUUGGUUAGGAUGGUCGUACAGUUGAGAAUCUAAUAGAUU
This is a small nucleolar RNA of Gossypium arboreum, 218 nucleotides long. It matches the Rfam family "Plant small nucleolar RNA U3". Rfam says of the family: Small nucleolar RNAs (snoRNAs) are involved in the processing and modification of rRNA in the nucleolus. There are two main classes of snoRNAs: the box C/D class, and the box H/ACA class. The record is from Rfam. Lineage: Eukaryota; Viridiplantae; Streptophyta; Magnoliopsida; Malvales; Malvaceae.